This is a long non-coding RNA of Phacochoerus africanus (Common warthog), 210 nucleotides long. RefSeq lists it as uncharacterized. The record is from RefSeq and is a predicted model, not a curated record. Lineage: Eukaryota; Metazoa; Chordata; Mammalia; Artiodactyla; Suidae. The transcript has 3 exons.
UCGGUCUUGGGCAGGUUCUGACGCAGGUAGUAAAGGCGGUCAGAUUCUAAAUGUAUUUUCGAAGGCGAGUGCACCACUGGGGUGUGGAAACCAAGUCUCUGAGGAGACAGAUGAGUGGAGUUGACAGCAAGAACACCAAGAAUGUGCUUCACCGACAGGGAACAAGAGACUGGAGGCCCCGGGAAGGAAGGACCUGCCUAAGGACACACA